AUACGGAGGGUGCGAGCGUUGUUCGGAAUUAUUGGGCGUAAAGCGCGUGUAGGCGGUCUUUAAGUCUGAUGUGAAAGCCCUGGGCUCAACCCGGGAAGUGCAUUGGAAACUGGGAGACUUGAAUACGGGAGAGGGUAGUGGAAUUCCUAGUGUAGGAGUGAAAUCCGUAGAUAUUAGGAGGAACACCGGUGGCGAAGGCGACUUUCUGGACUGACCCUGACGCUGAGGUGCGAAAGCGUGGGUAGC
Molecule: ribosomal RNA, 246 nt
Filed under: uncultured bacterium
Lineage: Bacteria
Description: partial 16S ribosomal RNA
Rfam family: Bacterial small subunit ribosomal RNA
Source: RNAcentral